Molecule: ribosomal RNA, 254 nt
Filed under: uncultured bacterium
Lineage: Bacteria
Description: partial 16S ribosomal RNA
Rfam family: Bacterial small subunit ribosomal RNA
Source: RNAcentral
UACGGAGGGUGCAAGCGUUAUCCGGAUUCACUGGGUUUAAAGGGUGUGUAGGCGGUUGUUUAAGUUUGGUGUGAAAUCUCCCGGCUCAACUGGGAGGGUGCGCCGAAUACUGAAUGACUUCGAGUGCGGGAGAGGAUAGUGGAAUUCCUGGUGUAGCGGUGAAAUGCGUAGAUAUCAGGAGGAACACCGGUGGUGUAGACGGCUAUCUGGACCGUAACUGACGCUGAGACACGAAAGCGUGGGUAGCAAACAGG